Non-coding RNA from Suillus luteus, 83 nucleotides. The record is from Rfam. Lineage: Eukaryota; Fungi; Basidiomycota; Agaricomycetes; Boletales; Suillaceae.
UGCCCCAUGGCUGAGUUGGUUACAGCGUCCGACUGUUAUUUACCGGCAUCGGAAGGUCGUGAGUUCGAGCCUCACUGGGGCAG